RNAcentral lists this ribosomal RNA (464 nucleotides) under uncultured bacterium. Its description in RNAcentral is "partial 16S ribosomal RNA". It matches the Rfam family "Bacterial small subunit ribosomal RNA", at positions 338 to 795 of the family's 1533-position model. The record is from RNAcentral.
CCUACGGGGGGCAGCAGUAGGGAAUUUUCGUCAAUGGGCGCAAGCCUGAACGAGCAAUGCCGCGUGAACGAGGAAGGUCUUCGGAUCGUAAAGUUCUGUUGAAGGGGAAAAAGAGCGGAGAGAGGAAAUGCUUUCUGAUUGAUAUUACCCUUCGAGGAAGUCACGGCUAACUACGUGCCAGCAGCGGCGGUAAUACGGAGGUGGCGAGGGGUAUCCGGAAUGAUUGGGCGUAAAGGGUGCGUAGGCGGCCUGCUAGGUCGGGAGUAAAAGGUACCGGUUCAACCGGUACAGGCGCUGGAAACUGGCGGGCUAGAGAGCAGGAGAGGUCGGUGGAACUCCAGGGGUAGCGGUAAAAUGCGUAGAGAUAUGGAAGAACACCAGUGGCGAAGGCGGCCGCCUGGCCUGUUACUGACGCUGAGGCACGAAAGCGUGGGGAGCAAAUAGGAUUAGAUACCCGUGUAGUC